AGAGUUGAUCCUGGCUCAGAACGAACGCUGGCGGCGUGCCUAACACAUGCAAGUCGAGCGAGAAAGCCCGCAAGGGUGAGUAAAGCGGCGCACGGGUGCGUAACACGUGGGUAAUCUGCCCUAGAGUCCGGAAUAACUCGCCGAAAGGCGUGCUAAUGCCGGAUGAGACCACGGGAGCCUCGGCUCUCGCGGGAAAAGGUGGCCUCUGUAUACAAGCUAUCGCUCUAGGAUGAGCCCGCGGCCCAUCAGCUCGUUGGCGGGGUAAUGGCCCACCAAGGCUACGACGGGUAGCUGGUCUGAGAGGACGAUCAGCCACACUGGAACUGAGACACGGUCCAGACUCCUACGGGAGGCAGCAGUGGGGAAUCUUGCGCAAUGGGCGAAAGCCUGACGCAGCAACGCCGCGUGUGUGAUGAAGGUCUUCGGAUCGUAAAGCACUGUCGCGAGGGACGAAUAAGGGUCGGUCUAACAAGCCGGUCCGAUGACGGUACCUCGAGAGGAAGCACCGGCUAACUCUGUGCCAGCAGCCGCGGUAAUA
RNAcentral lists this ribosomal RNA (538 nucleotides) under uncultured bacterium. Its description in RNAcentral is "bacterial SSU rRNA". It matches the Rfam family "Bacterial small subunit ribosomal RNA", at positions 8 to 525 of the family's 1533-position model. The record is from RNAcentral.